Molecule: ribosomal RNA, 424 nt
Filed under: uncultured bacterium
Lineage: Bacteria
Description: partial 16S ribosomal RNA
Rfam family: Bacterial small subunit ribosomal RNA
Source: RNAcentral
AAUAUUGGACAAUGGGCGCAAGCCUGAUCCAGCCAUGCCGCGUGAGUGAAGAAGGCCCUCGGGUUGUAAAGCUCUUUUGUCCGGAAAGAAAAGCAUUCGGUUAAUACCCGGGUAUCCUGACGGUACCGGAAGAAUAAGCACCGGCUAACUUCGUGCCAGCAGCCGCGGUAAUACGAAGGGUGCAAGCGUUACUCGGAAUUACUGGGCGUAAAGCGUGCGUAGGUGGUUUGUUAAGUCUGAUGUGAAAGCCCUGGGCUCAACCUGGGAAUGGCACUGGAUACUGGCAAGCUAGAGUGUGGCAGAGGGUAGUGGAAUUCCUGGUGUAGCAGUGAAAUGCGUAGAGAUCAGGAGGAACAUCCGUGGCGAAGGCGACUGCCUGGGCCAACACUGACACUGAGGCACGAAAGCGUGGGGAGCAAACAGG